RNAcentral lists this ribosomal RNA (851 nucleotides) under uncultured bacterium. RNAcentral describes it as "bacterial SSU rRNA". It matches the Rfam family "Bacterial small subunit ribosomal RNA", at positions 58 to 916 of the family's 1533-position model. The record is from RNAcentral.
CAAGUCGAACGGAAUCCAUGGUGUAGCAAUACACCGGAAGAUUUAGUGGCGAACGGGUGAGGAUCACGUGAGAAACGUGCCCCAGACUCUGGGAUAACAAUUGGAAACGAUUGCUAAUACCGGAUGACGUCGGAGAAUCGCAUGAUUCACUGACGAAAGAUAUUUCGGUUUGGGAGCGUCUCGCGGCCUAUCAGCUUGUUGGUGGGGUAAUGGCCUACCAAGGCAACGACGGGUAGCUGGUCUGAGAGGAUGAUCAGCCACACUGGGACUGAGACACGGCCCAGACUCCUACGGGAGGCAGCAGUGGGGAAUCUUGCGCAAUGGGCGAAAGCCUGACGCAGCAACGCCGCGUGCGGGAUGAAGGCCUUCGGGCUGUAAACCGCUUUCAGCAGGAACGAAAAUGACGGUACCUGCAGAAGAAGGAGCGGCCAACUACGUGCCAGCAGCCGCGGUGACACGUAGGCUCCAAGCGUUGUCCGGAUUUAUUGGGCGUAAAGAGCUCGUAGGCGGUUGAGUAAGUCGGGUGUGAAAACUCUGGGCUUAACCCGGAGACGCCAUCCGAUACUGCUCUGACUAGAGUUCAGGAGGGGAGUGGGGAAUUCCUAGUGUAGCGGUGAAAUGCGCAGAUAUUAGGAGGAACACCGGUGGCGAAGGCGCCACUCUGGACUGAAACUGACGCUGAGGAGCGAAAGCAUGGGUAGCAAACAGGAUUAGAUACCCUGGUAGUCCAUGCCGUAAACGGUGGGCACUAGGUGUGGGUUCCAACUAACGGGAUCCGCGCCGUCGCUAACGCAUUAAGUGCCCCGCCUGGGGAGUACGGUCGCAAGACUAAAACUCAAAGGAAUUGACGG